This 1123-nucleotide long non-coding RNA is filed under the name Anas platyrhynchos platyrhynchos (common mallard). RNAcentral's name for it is "lncRNA (ENSAPLG00000016485.1)". Lineage: Eukaryota; Metazoa; Chordata; Aves; Anseriformes; Anatidae. The record is from RNAcentral.
GGAAACCCCAGUGUCAGAAGGGGAAGGUGCUGCUAAUCGCUGGUUUCCAUGCGUGAGUUUGGGUUAAUUCCAGCAAUGCCAUCCAGGAAACAAAGUCAGCAGAAGCCUUUCCUAUUAAAACUGUCACAGCUUGAUAGGACUCAUUCGACAAAACUAAAAGGGAAACAGCCACCUCGAGCUUCUGUUCACUGUGAGGCAAGAGAUGGGGGGGAGGCAGGAGGGGGUUUUGCAAAUCUGAAAGCGAGAGGAGUUGCUAGUCCACCCGUGACAUGGAGCCAGCAGCAAAGAUCAUCACUGGCUUUCCUUCAGCAUGCUGACAGCCCAUGAGGCAGGCUUGUCUGAUGAAUGACUGUCUUCAGACGGGACCGAGAGUUUGAGAAGCUAAAUAGGAUGUCUGCUGGAAAAUGUACUCCACAAAAGCAGCCAUUUGUCUCCUGAACAAUCUGGUGUUUGCAGUGAAGUCCACUUUGUCCCGGAAGGCAGAGUAAAAGAGAAGAAAGGUUGAAUAAUGCACAAGAAGUAUCCUUUCACACAUGUAGGCAUAUGAUGGGGCUCAUGUUGUGUGCUUAAGAGAACAGCAAUGUAUAGUGAAGGCAUUUGGAAGGAAGUGGAUUGAGACAAAAAAUUAGCUUCAUUUUCAAAAAUAGGUCACGGACAGUGCAUCUUUACUGUAUCACAGAGAGAAAUUAGAAAGCAGCCUGAACCCCAAGGAGACCAAGACUGGAAUGUGUGACUCACAGGAACUCAAACACACACCCAAGAGGUAGAAAGCAAGCUCAAUACUCCAUCAUCCUCUCCAGGCAGGAAUGAGUCAGGCAAACUGACAUUUGAUGAUGCUCGUUCCAGGGACGGACUGGGAGAUGUGCAGUGGGCGCAGAGCAGGCAGCAUGCAAGCUCCACUGGUCUGCAGAGCAUCAGAUCCCAGCCCGGGGCUGCCUGCCAAGGGGAGCGGUGGGGAGGUGGCUGAGGGAAGAGAUCUGGCUGCUUCAACACACAUGGAGAUCUCAUUAGGAGGGCUGGGAUAAAAUCCUCAUCCAUACAUAGCUCUGUUUGCCCUGCUACCGUGCAAUUUGCUCCAUCCUGCAAAAAUAAAGACCAUUCUUGUGUUGUCCUCUUGCUUGAU